GAUGAACGCUGGCGGUAUGCUUAACACAUGCCAGUCGAACGGACUCUUCGGAGUUAGCGGCGGACGGGUGAGUAACGCGUGAGAAUCUGGCUUUGGGUUCGGGACAACCACUGGAAACGGUGGCUAAUACCGGAUGUGCCGAGAGGUAAAAGAGAAAUUGCCUGAAGAUGAGCUCGCGUCUGAUUAGCUAGUUGGUGAGGUAAAGGCUCACCAAGGCAGCGAUCAGUAGCUGGUCUGAGAGGAUGACCAGCCACACUGGGACUGAGACACGGCCCAGACUCCGACGGGAGGCAGCAGUGGGGAAUUUUCCGCAAUGGGCGAAAGCCUGACGGAGCAAUACCGCGUGAGGGAAGAAGGCUCUUGGGUUGUAAACCUCUUUUCUUAGGGAAGAACAAAAUGACGGUACCUAAGGAAUCAGCAUCGGCUAACUCCGUG
This 435-nucleotide ribosomal RNA is filed under the name uncultured bacterium. RNAcentral's name for it is "partial 16S ribosomal RNA". It matches the Rfam family "Bacterial small subunit ribosomal RNA", at positions 28 to 507 of the family's 1533-position model. The record is from RNAcentral.